RNAcentral lists this ribosomal RNA (1686 nucleotides) under Salmonella enterica subsp. enterica. RNAcentral's name for it is "partial 23S ribosomal RNA". It matches the Rfam family "Bacterial large subunit ribosomal RNA", at positions 1273 to 2925 of the family's 2925-position model. RNAcentral also lists the same sequence under 1 other name. The record is from RNAcentral. Lineage: Bacteria; Pseudomonadati; Pseudomonadota; Gammaproteobacteria; Enterobacterales; Enterobacteriaceae.
CUGGAGGUAUCAGAAGUGCGAAUGCUGACAUAAGUAACGAUAAAGCGGGUGAAAAGCCCGCUCGCCGGAAGACCAAGGGUUCCUGUCCAACGUUAAUCGGGGCAGGGUGAGUCGACCCCUAAGGCGAGGCCGAAAGGCGUAGUCGAUGGGAAACGGGUUAAUAUUCCCGUACUUGGUGUUACUGCGAAGGGGGGACGGAGAAGGCUAUGUUGGCCGGGCGACGGUUGUCCCGGUUUAAGCGUGUAGGUGUGUGUUCCAGGUAAAUCCGGUUCACUUUAACACUGAGGCGUGACGACGAGGCACUACGGUGCUGAAGCAACAAAUGCCCUGCUUCCAGGAAAAGCCUCUAAGCAUCAGGUAACAUCAAAUCGUACCCCAAACCGACACAGGUGGUCAGGUAGAGAAUACCAAGGCGCUUGAGAGAACUCGGGUGAAGGAACUAGGCAAAAUGGUGCCGUAACUUCGGGAGAAGGCACGCUGACACGUAGGUGAAGUGAUUUACUCACGGAGCUGAAGUCAGUCGAAGAUACCAGCUGGCUGCAACUGUUUAUUAAAAACACAGCACUGUGCAAACACGAAAGUGGACGUAUACGGUGUGACGCCUGCCCGGUGCCGGAAGGUUAAUUGAUGGGGUCAGCGCAAGCGAAGCUCCUGAUCGAAGCCCCGGUAAACGGCGGCCGUAACUAUAACGGUCCUAAGGUAGCGAAAUUCCUUGUCGGGUAAGUUCCGACCUGCACGAAUGGCGUAAUGAUGGCCAGGCUGUCUCCACCCGAGACUCAGUGAAAUUGAACUCGCUGUGAAGAUGCAGUGUACCCGCGGCAAGACGGAAAGACCCCGUGAACCUUUACUAUAGCUUGACACUGAACAUUGAGCCUUGAUGUGUAGGAUAGGUGGGAGGCUUUGAAGCGUGGACGCCAGUCUGCGUGGAGCCGACCUUGAAAUACCACCCUUUAAUGUUUGAUGUUCUAACGUGGACCCGUGAUCCGGGUUGCGGACAGUGUCUGGUGGGUAGUUUGACUGGGGCGGUCUCCUCCUAAAGAGUAACGGAGGAGCACGAAGGUUGGCUAAUCCUGGUCGGACAUCAGGAGGUUAGUGCAAUGGCAUAAGCCAGCUUGACUGCGAGCGUGACGGCGCGAGCAGGUGCGAAAGCAGGUCAUAGUGAUCCGGUGGUUCUGAAUGGAAGGGCCAUCGCUCAACGGAUAAAAGGUACUCCGGGGAUAACAGGCUGAUACCGCCCAAGAGUUCAUAUCGACGGCGGUGUUUGGCACCUCGAUGUCGGCUCAUCACAUCCUGGGGCUGAAGUAGGUCCCAAGGGUAUGGCUGUUCGCCAUUUAAAGUGGUACGCGAGCUGGGUUUAGAACGUCGUGAGACAGUUCGGUCCCUAUCUGCCGUGGGCGCUGGAGAACUGAGGGGGGCUGCUCCUAGUACGAGAGGACCGGAGUGGACGCAUCACUGGUGUUCGGGUUGUCAUGCCAAUGGCACUGCCCGGUAGCUAAAUGCGGAAGAGAUAAGUGCUGAAAGCAUCUAAGCACGAAACUUGCCCCGAGAUGAGUUCUCCCUGAGACUUUAGGUCUCCUGAAGGAACGUUGAAGACGACGACGUUGAUAGGCCGGGUGUGUAAGCGCAGCGAUGCGUUGAGCUAACCGGUACUAAUGAACCGUGAGGCUUAACCUUACAACGCCGAAG